RNAcentral lists this transfer RNA (73 nucleotides) under Ailuropoda melanoleuca (giant panda). It matches the Rfam family "tRNA". From Rfam's summary of the family: Transfer RNA (tRNA) molecules are approximately 80 nucleotides in length. The record is from Rfam by way of RNAcentral. Lineage: Eukaryota; Metazoa; Chordata; Mammalia; Carnivora; Ursidae.
ACCUGGCUGGCUCAGUCGGUGGAGCAUGGGACUCUUGAUCUCGGGGUUGUGAGUUCGAGCCCCAUGUUGGGCA